Non-coding RNA from Pan troglodytes (chimpanzee), 84 nucleotides. It matches the Rfam family "Y RNA". From Rfam's summary of the family: Y RNAs are components of the Ro ribonucleoprotein particle (Ro RNP), in association with Ro60 and La proteins. The record is from Rfam. NCBI's taxonomy places the organism in Eukaryota, Metazoa, Chordata, Mammalia, Primates, Hominidae.
GGCUGAUCUGAAGGUAGUCAGUUAUCUCAGUUGAUCAGUUCUAUUCUUUCCCCUUUUCUCACUACUGCACUUGACUAGUCUUAA